This 253-nucleotide ribosomal RNA is filed under the name uncultured bacterium. RNAcentral describes it as "partial 16S ribosomal RNA". It matches the Rfam family "Bacterial small subunit ribosomal RNA", at positions 524 to 776 of the family's 1533-position model. The record is from RNAcentral.
GACGAACCGAGCGAACGUUGUUCGGAAUCACUGGGCUUAAAGGGCGCGUAGGCGGGCUGCCAAGUCUGGGGUGAAAUCCCGCGGCUCAACCGCGGAACUGCCUCAGAUACUGGCGGCCUCGAGGGAGAUAGGGGCGAGCGGAACUAAUGGUGGAGCGGUGAAAUGCGUUGAUAUCAUUAGGAACUCCGGUGGCGAAGGCGGCUCGCUGGAUCUCUUCUGACGCUGAGGCGCGAAAGCUAGGGGAGCAAACGGG